GACGAACGCUGGCGGCGUGCCUAAUACAUGCAAGUCGAACGCAUUUUCUUUCACCGUAGCUUGCUACACCGAAAGAAAAUGAGUGGCGAACGGGUGAGUAACACGUUGGUAACCUGCCCAUCAGCGGGGGAUAACACUUGGAAACAGGUGCUAAUACCGCAUAAUUCCAUUUACCGCAUGGUAGAUGGGUGAAAGGCGCUUUUGCGUCACUGAUGGAUGGACCCGCGGUGCAUUAGCUAGUUGGUGGGGUAACGGCCUACCAAGGCUGCGAUGCAUAGCCGACCUGAGAGGGUGAUCGGCCACACUGGGACUGAGACACGGCCCAGACUCCUACGGGAGGCAGCAGUAGGGAAUCUUCGGCAAUGGACGCAAGUCUGACCGAGCAACGCCGCGUGAGUGAAGAAGGUUUUCGGAUCGUAAAACUCUGUUGUUAGAGAAGAACAAGGAUGAGAGUGGAAAGUUCAUCCCUUGACGGUAUCUAACCAGAAAGCCACGGCUAACUACGUG
This 507-nucleotide ribosomal RNA is filed under the name uncultured bacterium. RNAcentral describes it as "partial 16S ribosomal RNA". It matches the Rfam family "Bacterial small subunit ribosomal RNA", at positions 28 to 507 of the family's 1533-position model. The record is from RNAcentral.